This 426-nucleotide ribosomal RNA is filed under the name uncultured eukaryote. RNAcentral describes it as "SSU rRNA". It matches the Rfam family "Eukaryotic small subunit ribosomal RNA", at positions 449 to 880 of the family's 1831-position model. The record is from RNAcentral.
UCCUGACACAGGGAGGUAGUGACAAGAAAUAACAAUACAGGGCCUUCUUGGUCUUGUAAUUGGAAUGAGUACAACUUACAUCUCUUCACGAGGAUCAAUUGGAGGGCAAGUCUGGUGCCAGCAGCCGCGGUAAUUCCAGCUCCAAUAGCGUAUAUUAAAGUUGUUGCAGUUAAAACGCUCGUAGUCGGAUUUCGGGGCGGGGCCGCCGGUCUGCCGAUGGGUAUGCACUGGCGGGCGCGUCCUUCCUUCCGGAGACUGGCCCUACUCUUAACUGAGCGGGGUCGGGAGUCGGAUCGUUUACUUUGAAAAAAUCAGAGUAUUUCAAGCAGGCAGCUCGCUCUUGCAUGGAUUAGCAUGGGAUAAUGAAAUAGGACUUUGGUGCUAUUUUGUUGGUUUCGAACACCGAAGUAAUGAUUAACAGGGACA